This 480-nucleotide ribosomal RNA is filed under the name uncultured bacterium. RNAcentral's name for it is "partial 16S ribosomal RNA". It matches the Rfam family "Bacterial small subunit ribosomal RNA", at positions 28 to 507 of the family's 1533-position model. The record is from RNAcentral.
GAUGAACGCUGGCGGCGUGCUUAACACAUGCAAGUCGAACGGAACUACUCCAAUGAGAGUCUUCGGAAAGGAUUUGGUUUAGUUUAGUGGCGGACGGGUGAGUAACGCGUGGGUAACCUGCCCUAUACAGGGGGAUAACAGUUGGAAACGACUGUUAAUACCGCAUAAGCGCACAGGAGCGCAUGCUCCGGUGGGAAAAACUCCGGUGGUAUAGGAUGGACCCGCGUCUGAUUAGCUGGUUGGCGGGGUAACGGCCCACCAAGGCGACGAUCAGUAGCCGGCCUGAGAGGGUGAACGGCCACAUUGGGACUGAGACACGGCCCAAACUCCUACGGGAGGCAGCAGUGGGGAAUAUUGCACAAUGGGGGAAACCCUGAUGCAGCGACGCCGCGUGAGCGAAGAAGUAUCUCGGUAUGUAAAGCUCUAUCAGCAGGGAAGAAAAUGACGGUACCUGACUAAGAAGCCCCGGCUAACUACGUG